RNAcentral lists this ribosomal RNA (506 nucleotides) under uncultured bacterium. Its description in RNAcentral is "partial 16S ribosomal RNA". It matches the Rfam family "Bacterial small subunit ribosomal RNA", at positions 29 to 523 of the family's 1533-position model. The record is from RNAcentral.
AGUGAACGCUGGCGGUAGGCCUAACACAUGCAAGUCGAACGGCAGCACAGGAGAGCUUGCUCUCUGGGUGGCGAGUGGCGGACGGGUGAGGAAUACAUCGGAAUCUACUCUGUCGUGGGGGAUAACGUAGGGAAACUUACGCUAAUACCGCAUACGACCUACGGGUGAAAGCAGGGGACCUUCGGGCCUUGCGCGAUUGAAUGAGCCGAUGUCGGAUGAGCUAGUUGGCGGGGUAAAGGCCCACCAAGGCGACGAUCCGUAGCUGGUCUGAGAGGAUGAUCAGCCACACUGGAACUGAGACACGGUCCAGAAUCCUACGGGAGGCAGCAGUGGGGAAUAUUGGACAAUGGGCGCAAGCCUGAUCCAGCCAUACCGCGUGGGUGAAGAAGGCCUUCGGGUUGUAAAGCCCUUUUGUUGGGAAAGAAAUCCAGCCGGCUAAUACCCGGUUGGGAUGACGGUACCCAAAGAAUAAGCACCGGCUAACUUCGUGCCAGCCGCCGCAGUAA